This 468-nucleotide ribosomal RNA is filed under the name uncultured bacterium. RNAcentral's name for it is "partial 16S ribosomal RNA". It matches the Rfam family "Bacterial small subunit ribosomal RNA", at positions 28 to 507 of the family's 1533-position model. The record is from RNAcentral.
GACGAACGCUGGCGGCGUGCUUAACACAUGCAAGUCGAACGGCAAGGCCCUGCUUUUUUGGGCUGCUCGAGUGGCGAACGGGUGCGUAACACGUGAGUAACCUGCCCUUGACUUUGGGAUAACUUCAGGAAACUGGGGCUACUACCGGAUAGGAGCUCCUCCUGCAUGGUGGGGGUUGGAAAGUUUCGGCGGUUGGGGAUGGACGCGCGGCUUAUCAGCUUGUUGGUUGGCUAGUGGCUUACCAAGGCUUUGGCGGGUCGCCGGCCUGUGAGGGUGAACGGCGACAAUGGGCCUGAGAGACGGAGCAGAGUGCAACGGGAGGCAGGAGGGGGGAAUAUUGCACAAUGGGCGGAAGCCGGAUGCAGAAACGCCGCGUGCGGGAUGACGGCCUGCGGGUUGUAAAACGCUUUCGCCUGUGACGAAGCGGGAGUGACGGUAAUGGGUAAAGAAGCACCGGCUAACUACGUG